RNAcentral lists this ribosomal RNA (497 nucleotides) under uncultured bacterium. RNAcentral's name for it is "partial 16S ribosomal RNA". It matches the Rfam family "Bacterial small subunit ribosomal RNA", at positions 28 to 507 of the family's 1533-position model. The record is from RNAcentral.
GAUGAACGCUGGCGGCGUGCCUAAUACAUGCAAGUCGAGCGAACAGAUAAGGAGCUUGCUCCUUUGACGUUAGCGGCGGACGGGAGAGUAACACGUGGAUAACCUACCUAUAAGACUGGGAUAACUUCGGGAAACCGGAGCUAAUACCGGAUAACAUAUUGAACCGCAUGGUUCAAUAGUGAAAGGCGGCUUUGCUGUCACUUAUAGAUGGAUCCGCGCCGUAUUAGCUAGUUGGUAAGGUAACGGCUUACCAAGGCAACGAUACGUAGCCGACCUGAGAGGGUGAACGGCCACACUGGAACUGAGACACGGUCCAGACUCCUACGGGAGGCAGCAGUAGGGAAUCUUCCGCAAUGGGCGAAAGCCUGACGGAGCAACGCCGCGUGAGUGAUGAAGGUCUUCGGAUCGUAAAACUCUGUUAUCAGGGAAGAACAAAUGUGUAAGUAACUGUGCACAUCUUGACGGUACCUGAUCAGAAAGCCACGGCUAACUACGUG